This 338-nucleotide long non-coding RNA is filed under the name Capsicum annuum. RNAcentral describes it as "long non-coding RNA (CANN_LNC009806)". Lineage: Eukaryota; Viridiplantae; Streptophyta; Magnoliopsida; Solanales; Solanaceae. The record is from RNAcentral.
CCCGACACUCCUCUGAGUGCUCCAGCUCCCCUAACACAAUAGCUCUAUCCCCUUUGUCAUUCAAGAGCCUAUGAAAAUAUAAUUGCCAUCUAUUCUUAAUAUGGCCGUCCUCCACCAACACUGUACCGUCCUCCCCCUUAAUGCACUUCACCUGGUCGAGGUCACGACCCUUCCUCUCCCUAGCCUUAGCGAGUCUAAACAACUUUUUAUCCCCUCCUUUCUCCUAUAACCCCACAUACAAGCUCUUAAAAGCUUCCAUCUUAGCCACCGUAACUGCUAACUUAGCCUCCUUCCUAGCUAACUUGUACUCUUUCCUAUUUACCCGCUUCUCUUCUUCA